GGGGAUGUAAAGGUUUCGACGGGGUAUUGAAGCCACGAAGUUCGCAGGCCAAUGGUCAUGAACGCCUGAAGCUUGACCGCUAAAUUCAACUGACGAAGCUGAAUACGCUUACGCUGCCUGAGCCUAGCUCAGAUAGCCCCUCUGGAAGUACGAACCGUCAGCCAACCCGGAGGUUUUAAAUAAAGACGGCAGUUUCCUGUUUUGUAAAAACAGGUGGUGGAGAACUCUGAAUCCCAGAGUUCCGCUCCUAUGAUGCCCGCAUUCUCGGGCUAUUGCGAUAAUGCUUUGUGAUGUGGAUGUAUUUCGGACAGGAGUUCGAUUCUCCUCAUCUCCACCA
Non-coding RNA from Mitsuokella multacida DSM 20544, 337 nucleotides. Lineage: Bacteria; Bacillati; Bacillota; Negativicutes; Selenomonadales; Selenomonadaceae. The record is from Rfam.